UGGGAUGUCAAAGCACGAGGGUCACUUG
Molecule: non-coding RNA, 28 nt
Filed under: Homo sapiens (human)
Lineage: Eukaryota; Metazoa; Chordata; Mammalia; Primates; Hominidae
Source: RNAcentral